Gasterosteus aculeatus aculeatus (three-spined stickleback) is the source of this 1241-nucleotide long non-coding RNA. The record is from Ensembl. NCBI's taxonomy places the organism in Eukaryota, Metazoa, Chordata, Actinopteri, Perciformes, Gasterosteidae.
UGCAUUGCAAGUUGUUGUCUUGUUAUUCCAACGUACGUGUCCAUUCUAACGAGUUAAACGUGCUGAUUGCAGCCCAACAUGAAGAAUUCGGCUUUACUUUGCAUCAUGAUGACGCGAUGGAACACACAAACACACCAAUUCCCAACGGCGUUAAUGCCUCGCGCACUGGAAAGGGUUGUUUUGUGGUGACGGGUAAUCUGGCCAAAAUGUGAGAGGUUUCCCCCCGAGUGCGGAGCGUGUUAAACAGGCAGCGGCGUCGAGUUAAUCGAAAGUGUUAACCGCCUAGUAGACAGCACCGUGGCCGAUGAGCAGCGGCGUCCGCCCCCGUCGUCCACCGAUGCCUCCGUUUUUUAACCGCCUCCGUCUUCCUGGCAGCUCGCCUCUCCGGUAGCGAGCUGCCAGGCUGGUUCACUCUCAGCAAUGCCUGGUCUGGUUGAAAGAGAAUAGUGGGAGGUAAAUAAAAGAGUUGAAACCUUUCUAUCAGCGUGUGUGUGUGUGUGUGUGUGUGUGUGUGUGUGUGUGUGUGUGAGAGAAGAGAGAAGAGAAGAAGAAAAGGAAACCGCCUCAGCAAAAAAGACAACAACACAAAGUCAUGGGGAAGGACGUGGUGAAAAGGCGUCCAGGGGAAAGCGCCGCAGAGAGUGAGACGUGUGGAGGAGAGAGAUGGUGGAGGAGAGAGAUGGUGGAGGAGAGAGAUGGUGGAGGAGAGAUGGUGGAGGAGAGAGAUGGUGGAGGAGAGAGAUGGUGAAGGAGAGAGAUGGUGGAGGAGAGAGAUGAAGGCAGAAAGAUAAGAGGGGAACGGGGGGGUCAGAAUGUGGGGGAACGCAGGUCUGAAGGGGAUCCGGCUUUGCCAAGUCCCUCCUAGAGAGUCACAACAGGCUGAACCUUAUCUCACCUUCUCCUCGCCCCCCCGUCUCCCCCCCUCCCAACACCUCCAAUUCACUUAGUGGCUUUGGGCACUUUCACAUUUUAAGGAACUUGGAGCGACUUCCCAGAGGAAGGAAACUUCUGACCUUAAGAACUGCCGAGAUCUUUCUGUGUUGGGGGGACGCUAAAGCUGCCCGUUUAAGGGCCCCGUCGCUCGUCUUUCUCUUUGAAUAUUUCAUGAGCUCAUUAGGACACCGGCGCCGCGCCGCCGUUUGCUUUAUACACACUAUAACCUCAGAGUCCGCAGAGCGCCGGGUAGUCUGGGGGACAGUUCUGAGAAUGCAGAGAGCGGAUUAAAGCAGUCGAGGUGUAGG